Molecule: long non-coding RNA, 1272 nt
Organism: Helianthus annuus (common sunflower)
Lineage: Eukaryota; Viridiplantae; Streptophyta; Magnoliopsida; Asterales; Asteraceae
Exons: 2
Source: RefSeq, a predicted model, not a curated record
ACUCUUACUCUUGGCUGAUUACUUUCCCUUGCCAUUUUUUUUGUUCUUUGUUAAUCUCUUUAUAUCCCCUCUAAAACCAGGAUACAUGAGGAUUUUUUUUUAGAACCAUGCUCCCACUUGCUUGAGGAUCUGUCCAAAUCGGCUUCCCCAUUCCUAUAAUUAUUAAGUGAGUUUUCUUGCAAGUAACAUACAUUACCUGCCUUCUCUCUCGACACUCACCUGCUACACCCUUUCCCCUCUUUCAAAAUUGAGAAAACCCUAACCCAUCUACAAAGACAACUGCACCCCUUAUAAUUCCCCUCUCAUUUUGGGUUAGUCACUGCAAUUUGUCCUUGUAACACAUACAUAAACCCCCUUACCCUCUAAUUCCUUCUCUGCAACUAUUCAAGACAAACACACGUACCUCACCAGUUCUCUCUCUCGUUCUGAUGAAGAUCGACCGAGCUCCGGCCGGCGGCGACCAGCGGCGGCGCUGGGUGACAACCGGCUGCCCCCUCUCCCCUCAGCCGACACCUACCUCACAUGUAACCCCACCCCCUUCCAUCGAUUUGUCUAAUCGGCCGACCACCACCACCGUCACGGUGGUGGUGCGAUGUCAAAACGAAGAGAGGAGAGAAGGAUAGGGAGUCUGGUAGAGAAGAGAGAGAGACGCGACAUAGAGAGAUUGGAGACGUGGAUUCCGGCAACGAUACACCGGCGACGAGCGAUGACGACGACGCCGCCGUGACGACGGCGGUGGUGCUUUUGAUUCAGAGAGUUUCACGAUAAUGAAGAGGAACUGUUGUUGUUGAUGAUGAUGGUCCGACGGAACCACGUCGGCGACGGCAAGAAAACGUUUUGUUCAUUCAUUUUCUGUUCGAUUCAGCUUUGGCAUUGGUUUCGCGGAAUGAGUAACUCGGUCUCGGUUCAGUUGGUUUUGUUCAUUUAAUUCUAAUCCCAUUUCUGAUGACAAUUUCUUUGUUGAAAUGGAAGUUAGUAAUGGUGGUGUUUCACGUUUCGCCUCGGGUCAAACCGGGAUGACUCGGUCAACACCCGGUCAACUCAGGUCAACUGCGAGUCAACGCGAGCCAGAUUCGAUCAACUGAUGAAACACGAAGAUCCGGUAAAGUUAACGACGCCAAAAAAAAAAUUGUUUUAGAUUGACUUAGUUUUUAUUUAGAUUGUUAGAAAUACGCGAACCGAGCUCGAACCAUCGUUUAUCUAGUGAUUAUACACGUUUAAUUUUUGGCACAUUUUGACGAAAAUUAUAUACAUAUAUUGUUUGAUUGACAA